AGCUACCCCGGGGAUAACAGGCUUAUCUCCCCCAAGAGUUCACAUCGACGGGGAGGUUUGGCACCUCGAUGUCGGCUCAUCGCAUCCUGGGGCUGUAGUCGGUCCCAAGGGUUGGGCUGUUCGCCCAUUAAAGCGGUACGCGAGCUGGGUUCAGAACGUCGUGAGACAGUUCGGUCCCUAUCCGUCGUGGGCGUAGGAAAUUUGAGAGGAGCUGUCCUUAGUACGAGAGGACCGGGAUGGACAUACCUCUGGUGUACCAGUUGUCGUGCCAACGGCAUAGCUGGGUAGCUAUGUGUGGACGGGAUAAGUGCUGAAAGCAUCUAAGCAUGAAGCCCCCCUCAAGAUGAGAUUUCCCAACUUCGGUUAUAAGAUCCCUCAAAGAUGAUGAGGUUAAUAGGUUCGAGGUGGAAGCAUGGUGACAUGUGGAGCUGACGAAUACUAA
This 442-nucleotide ribosomal RNA is filed under the name Staphylococcus aureus. Its description in RNAcentral is "partial 23S ribosomal RNA". It matches the Rfam family "Bacterial large subunit ribosomal RNA", at positions 2461 to 2904 of the family's 2925-position model. Lineage: Bacteria; Bacillati; Bacillota; Bacilli; Caryophanales; Staphylococcaceae. The record is from RNAcentral.